This 207-nucleotide ribosomal RNA is filed under the name uncultured bacterium. Its description in RNAcentral is "partial 16S ribosomal RNA". It matches the Rfam family "Bacterial small subunit ribosomal RNA", at positions 568 to 774 of the family's 1533-position model. The record is from RNAcentral.
UCCGUAGGCGGUGUGGUAAGUCGAUAGUGAAAUCUCUGGGCUUAACUCAGAGGCUGCUAACGAAACUGCCAUGCUCGAGUGUGAGAGAGGCGAGUGGAAUUACGGGUGUAGCGGUGAAAUGCGUAGAUAUCCGUAGGAACAUCCGAGGCGAAAGCGGCUCGCUGGAUCACAACUGACGCUGAGGGACGAAAGCUAGGGGAGCAAACA